Molecule: ribosomal RNA, 301 nt
Filed under: uncultured bacterium
Lineage: Bacteria
Description: partial 16S ribosomal RNA
Rfam family: Bacterial small subunit ribosomal RNA
Source: RNAcentral
CAGUAGCCGCGGUAAUACGAAGGGUGCAAGCGUUACUCGGAAUUACUGGGCGUAAAGCGUGCGUAGGUGGUGGUUUAAGUCCGUUGUGAAAGCCCUGGGCUCAACCUGGGAAUUGCAGUGGAUACUGGGUCACUAGAGUGUGGUAGAGGAUAGUGGAAUUUCCGGUGUAGCAGUGAAAUGCGUAGAGAUCGGAAGGAACAUCUGUGGCGAAGGCGACUAUCUGGGCCAACACUGACACUGAGGCACGAAAGCGUGGGGAUCAAACAGGAUUAGAUACCCGCGUAGUCCCUGUCUCUUAUAC